RNAcentral lists this ribosomal RNA (1123 nucleotides) under Arthrobacter sp. BJQ-7. RNAcentral describes it as "bacterial SSU rRNA". It matches the Rfam family "Bacterial small subunit ribosomal RNA", at positions 238 to 1365 of the family's 1533-position model. The record is from RNAcentral. Lineage: Bacteria; Bacillati; Actinomycetota; Actinomycetes; Micrococcales; Micrococcaceae.
CUAUUAGCUUGUUGGUGGAGGUAAUGGCUCACCAAGGCGACGACGGGUAGCCGGCUGAGAGGGUGACCGGCACACUGGGACUGAGACACGGCCCAGACUCUACGGGAGGGAGCAGUGGGGAAUAUGCACAAUGGGCGAAAGACUGAUGCAGCGACGCCGCGUGAGGGAUGACGGCCUUCGGGUUGUAAACCUCUUUCAGUAGGGAAGAAGCCCCUUUUUGGGGUGACGGUACUUGCAGAAGAAGCGCCGGCUAACUACGUGCGAGCAGCCGCGGUAAUACGUAGGGCGCAAGCGUUAUCCGGAAUUAUUGGGCGUAAAGAGCUCGUAGGCGGUUUGUCGCGUCUGCCGUGAAAGUCCGAGGCUCAACCUCGGAUCUGCGGUGGGUACGGGCAGACUAGAGUGAUGUAGGGGAGACUGGAAUUCCUGGUGUAGCGGUGAAAUGCGCAGAUAUCAGGAGGAACACCCAUGGCGAAGGCAGGUCUCUGGGCAUUUACUGACGCAGAGGAGCGAAAGCAUGGGGAGCGAACAGGAUUAGAUACCCUGGUAGUCCAUGCCGUAAACGUUGGGCACUAGGUGUGGGGGACAUUCCACGUUUUCCGCGCCGUAGCUAACGCAUUAAGUGCCCCGCCUGGGGAGUACGGCCGCAAGGCUAAAACUCUAAGGAAUUGACGGGGGCCCACACAAGCGGCGGAGCAUGCGGAUUAAUUCGAUGCAACGCGAAGAACCUUACCAAGGCUUGACAUGUUCCAGACCGGGCCAGAGAUGGUCUUUCCCCUUUUGGGGCUGGUUCACAGGUGGUGCAUGGUUGUCGUCAGCUGGUGUCGUGAGAUGUUGGGUUAAGUCCCGCAACGAGCGCAACCCUCGUUCCAUGUUGCCAGCGGGUUAUGCCGGGGACUCAUGGGAGACUGCCGGGGUCAACCCGGAGGAAGGUGGGGAUGACGUCAACUCAUCAUGCCCCUUAUGUCUUGGGCUUCACGCAUGCUACAAUGGCCGGUACAAUGGGUUGCGAUACUGUGAGGUGGAGCUAAUCCCUAAAAGCCGGUCUCAGUUCGGAUUGGGGUCUGCAACUCGACCCCAUGAAGUCGGAGUCGCUAGUAAUCGCAGAUCAGCACGCUACCGAAGG